GUCGAGCGAACAGAAGGGAGCUUGCUCCCGGAUGUUAGCGGCGGACGGGUGAGUAACACGUGGGUAACCUGCCUGUAAGACUGGGAUAACUCCGGGAAACCGGAGCUAAUACCGGAUAGUUCCUUGAACCGCAUGGUUCAAGGAUGAAAGACGGUUUCGGCUGUCACUUACAGAUGGACCCGCGGCGCAUUAGCUAGUUGGUGGGGUAAUGGCUCACCAAGGCGACGAUGCGUAGCCGACCUGAGAGGGUGAUCGGCCACACUGGGACUGAGACACGGCCCAGACUCCUACGGGAGGCAGCAGUAGGGAAUCUUCCGCAAUGGACGAAAGUCUGACGGAGCAACGCCGCGUGAGUGAUGAAGGUUUUCGGAUCGUAAAGCUCUGUUGUUAGGGAAGAACAAGUGCGAGAGUAACUGCUCGCACCU
This 425-nucleotide ribosomal RNA is filed under the name Bacillus sp. (in: firmicutes). RNAcentral's name for it is "bacterial SSU rRNA". It matches the Rfam family "Bacterial small subunit ribosomal RNA", at positions 61 to 480 of the family's 1533-position model. The record is from RNAcentral. Lineage: Bacteria; Bacillati; Bacillota; Bacilli; Caryophanales; Bacillaceae.